Molecule: long non-coding RNA, 1141 nt
Organism: Orcinus orca (killer whale)
Lineage: Eukaryota; Metazoa; Chordata; Mammalia; Artiodactyla; Delphinidae
Exons: 2
Source: RefSeq, a predicted model, not a curated record
GGUGCUACUUCAGUUCCUUACCCCUUCCCUUCUGACCCUGGGCGGUGAGAUCCUCUUUCUCCGGCUGGUCCGCGGCAAGUGGCACUCGAACAGGGACCUGAAGCGUGAAGGCAGUUAAAAGAGAAAGAAAGUGCAGGCAACAGCCUGUUCCUCGUGUACCUUUGGUUUUUACGGACGGUUCUUCUUCAGGAGUGGCUACUGUAAUCAUUGACGACGGAACAAACCUCAUUCAAGAAAAUUCCUUGACUUCAGCUCAACGUGUUGAACUGUAUGCUGUCAUUAUGUCUUUUAAACAUUUGCCUUCUAUAUCUUUUAAUUUGUUUUCUGAUAGUAAAUAUCUUAUUAGCUUGUGAUUUCUUCUGGAGACUGCGACCAUAGGACAUACUAAUGACCCUGAAUUAUCAUCCUCUUUUCGUUUGCUUCAACAGCUUAUUCGUUCCCAUGAUGGUCCUGUUGCAGGUCUGUAUAUCCGUGCUCAUUCUAACUUGCCUGGUCCAUUGACUAAACUUAAUGCGACUGCAGAUGUUUUAACUCGAUCUAAACGUGAUCUUUAUCCUGUACAUUUUCCUCCCAAGAAUAGAGUUGAAGUUACUCCUCCUCCUCAAUCUCUUUUCCCUAAAGCAGGACAUGUCCCAAUUUACCGUACUCCUCCUUUCCGUUCGUCAUGCUGUCAAGAAUGGCUAAUGUACUGCAUUCAUUAUCUUCAUACUCUUGAUACUCAUGGUCCAUGUCCUGGACACCCUCAUAUUAUGGUAAGUUAUGAUCAAACUGCUUCACAAGCAGCACAGCCGUUGCACGCUUUACACCGUCACUCGGCGGCUACAUUACACACACAAUUUUCCCUUACUGGUGAAGCCGCCCGACAAAUUGUUAAGCAAUGCCCACAAUGCUUACCUCACCUUCCUGUUCCACAUUAUGUUGUUAAUCCUCGUGGAUUAUUACCUAGACAUUUAUGGCAAAUGGAUGUUACUCAUAUCCCGUCUUUUGGGAAAUUACAGUUUGUUCAUGUCACUAUCGAUACUUAUUCUGGUUUCCUCUGUGCUACAGCACAGACCGGAGAAGCUACUAAACAUGUUAUCACUCAUUUAUUACACUGUUUUGCUUUCAUGAACCUUCCCAAAAUUAUUAAAACAGAUAAUGG